Molecule: long non-coding RNA, 8043 nt
Organism: Homo sapiens (human)
Lineage: Eukaryota; Metazoa; Chordata; Mammalia; Primates; Hominidae
Exons: 3
Source: RefSeq, a predicted model, not a curated record
AAGGAAUCCACCCCAGGUCUGCCUGCCCCGGCUCAGCCCCGGCCCUCCCACCCUCCCACCCUCCCACCCUCCCCACGUCCUUUCAAGAACAGCAAACAAUAGACCAGCCCAGCCCUGGAAGCCGCGCUGGCCACGGAGGGUGACGCAGAACUGCUCAUCUCCAGGGAAAGGCGACAUCCCGAGAGCCCUCCAGAGCAGAUCUGAGCUCUGCUGGGCGGGGAAGCGGAGACUGAUUCGCCGCGGUCGCGGGCCCAGCGGCUGGGAGGUCCCGCGCUGGCCGAGCAAAUGAGGAGGGCGCAGGGCACGGGGGCGGUGCGCGCCCAGGACAGUUUCCCGUCGGCUUCUCCCGGACUGUCCUACCACUUCCAUCUCGGAGCGGGAUGCUCGGAUCCCCGCAAGGCCUCCUGCGGACGUGGGAGAGUUGCUGAGACAGGCAAGCGGGGUUUCGCUACUGGUUGCCACCCCUCCCGCCCUUUUGGGGAAGGUAGAGCUAAGCAGCAUUUGGCCGAAAUCCUGUGUCCGUGGAACAUUUAUUAUUAUUAUUAUUUUUCCUGAAACGCAGGUGAGAGUUGAUGAGGCUCAGCGUCUCCAGAUAAAAGAAGGGACAGAGCUGUCGGUGCGGUGAGGUUUGAAAAGUUGCGGCGGCCCCGGCAGCUGCAGGGGGCGAGCGCGGAGCAAAGCCCGGGCCGCACCAGACGGGCCCUGAGUCUCCAGGGCUCCUCGUCCCCAUGCGCCAGCGUGUCUGAUGCUUCACUGGACCCGGGUCUCUUUCUCAAUGUCAUCUCACAGCCUCUGUCCCUUGGGUAGGGAAUCAGGCUUCUGAGCUAUCAUCUGCUUAGUACCGUCGUCCUCUGCUUUGGAAAAUAUUUGAAUUGUGGUCUGAUAGAAGACAUGAAAAAGUUAGAAUACUACUAGAUUCCAAAGGGAAAAAAAAAGUUUCUUCGUUUACAAGUAGCAUCUACUGAUGGGAAUUUCUUAAUUGUUAUCAUUUAAGAAAAUACAGAACCAGGUUUGGAUCCAUGAAAACGAAUUGGUCUUCAGCCUUUCAAACACUGGCCAAAAAAAUUUGCAAAAGAAAAACACAGGCAUCAGGUAGCAGGCACAGUAUUAAAAAUUCAGACAGUUUUACUGUCGGAUCUUAAAAUAUAUUAGAAGUGUGUGACUUUCAUAAAGGACGAGAGAGAAUCAACUUCAUGCUAUUUCGAUAGGUAUUUUCUAGAUAUGCCAGAUAAUUUUGUCUUAUUAUCUCACAGAUUACUUGUUUCAGCCAUACACCAUGGGGAAAAAAAUGGCAAGGGGUUUGAAUGAUCGUUUCCAGAGCAGUUUUUCGUAGCUACAGUAGUACUUCCAUUUUACAAAUUCUCUGUGUUAGUCAUUCACUCAUAUAUUUCAUUCACCAAACAUUUAUUAAGGCUCUUCUAUGUGCUGUGUACAGUGCUAGACUUGGGAGAAGAGGGAUAAGUGGUGAGAGGGACAUACAAAAUUGAAUUAGAAAAAUUCACAGUUUAGGCAACUGGAAAUGCUAGGAAGCAGUUGUAAACCACUAUGAUACAUUCUUGUCGUGAGACGCCACCAGGGCAGCCCCUGCUAAUGGCCGGGAGAGGUACACUGACCACAGCUGAGUUUCGGGGUUCAUCUGCGUGGUGGCCUUUGCUCUUUCAAGGCAGCCACUAUUGGUUCCAUUUACAACAGGAGGAGACCAACACUAAAAGUGCAGUGAUGAGCCUCAUGUCUCACAGUUAGUCAGGCUCCUAAUCCAAAAGCCACUGCUAUGACCUGCGCUUCCGGACAUUCUGCCAUUUGAUCCCUACAACCUCACUACCUGAAGGACUAUAUUUUGAUCAUUCUUAAUGGGCCAGCUUCAAACCCCGUCAAGUUUUGAAGAGGGCAGAUGAAGCUGAUGACAGCUCCAGUUCCAGCUAUGGGUGACCUGUCUGUCUGCCUUUUUUGAGCUGUGGAGUGAUCAGAGUCAUAUUCGCUGCCUGUGCAGUACCACAGGCCUGAUGAAAAUGAAAUGGCAACACCACACAGAUGGCGAAGCGUAGGUCUCACAAGCGUCCUGGCCACGAAGCGUUGUCUUCAGCUUCGAUGUCUUAGCCUUGAGAGAGCAGCAGGGCCAUUCAGCAGUCAUUUAGCCACAGGAAUGUCCGUCACUGAAGGCUGUUUCUGCUGUUGUAUUCUGUCUCAGACCUAGAUGCCUGCAGUUUCCUCGGAUUGAAAACAUGGAGGGAUCUCCUGGUGCAGUGAGUCCAGCAUAUCCAGAGUGAAGCACAGUCACUGGUCAUUUUACACUACAUGGAAAAUCUCAACAAGUUUCAAAUUUUGAUAUUUUGGGUUUGUAUUUUAAAUGAAGUAGGGGAUUGAAAACUCUGCUGAGCCUCUUAGUAAAAUGAAAAACUAAUUAAUUAAUUAAUUUUUGAGACAGUCUCACCCUGUUGCCCAGGCUGGAGUACGGUGGCGCGAUCUCGGCUCACUGCAACCUCCACCUCCUGGGUUCAAGCAAUUCCUUUGCCUCCCCGACCCGAGUAGCUGGGAUUACAGGCGCCCACCACCACGCCUGGCUAUUUUUUGUAUUUUUAGUAGAGACAGGGUUUUGCCAUGUUAGCCAAGCUGGUCUCAAACUCCUGACCUAAGGUGAUCCGCCCGCCUUGGCCUCCCAAAAUGCUGGGAUUACAGGCAUGAGCCACCGCGCCUGGCCUAAUUUAUGAUGAAAGUAGGUCUGUUAGUUUAUAAAAUGAUAGUCAUCUUGGGGUCUUAAUUAGCAGACUUCCUUUCAGUGGUUGUGUCUCUAGAUAGCAAAUGUGGCAUUUUAGAAAAUACUUCCGUGUCUAGCUAUUAGAAUAUGUCUAUUAUCAGGAAAUGAGUAGCCACACUACUUGCAAAAUGUUCAUAUUUAGAGGGAUAAAAGAUAGCUUGAAUAAUAUGAAAAUCAACACUUCCCCUGAUGGUGGAAAUAUGUUCUUUGGAGAAAAGUUCAAGCAUUUUUAAAGUUAAGUAUUAUGUUUAUUACUGUUAGCUCUGGGACUCUGCCCAAACAAAUCAUUUUUCCAACCAUGUUAAUUCCACUGAAUUAAACUUUAUUUUUUUUCUUCUCUAAAAGACCUGAUUUGCCCGUAAGAAUUUGGUUAUGCAAUUAUAUGUUGACCAAUUAGAAGGUAAAGCCCUGGAUUCUAAAAGUUUUGUGUUUUAUUUGCCCGUUUUUUUUUUUUUGAGACAGAUUCUCACUCUGUCACCCAAGCUGGAGUGCAGUGGCACGAUCUUGGCUCACUGCAGCCUCUGCCUCCCAGAUUCAAGCGAUUCUCCUGCCUCAACCUCUUUAGUAGCUGGGACUACAGGCGUGCACCACCACGUAUGGCUUUUUUUUUUUUUUUUUUUAGUAGAGAUGGGGUUUCAGCAUGGUGGCCCGGCUGGUCUCGAACUCCUGACCUCAGGUGAUCCUCUCGCCUCAGCCUCCCAAAGUGUUGGGAUUACAGGUGUGAGCCACUGUGCCUGGCCUUAUUUACCAUUUUUAAGUGUACACUUCAGUGGCAUUCAGCACAUUCACAUUGUUUUGCAACCUUCACCACCAUCUAUCUGCAGAACUCUUUUCAUCUUGCAAAACUGGAAUUUUGUAUCCAUUAAACAAUAACUCCCCACUCGCCCUCCCAGGCUCCUGGCAACUGCCGUUCUACUUCCUGUCUCUGAAUUUGCCUACUCUAGGUACCUCUUAUAUGUGGAUUCUACAGUAUUGUCCUUUUGUGUCUGGCUUAUUUCACAUAACUUAUUGUCCUUAAGUUCCAUCUAUGUUGUGGCAUAUGUCAGAAUUUUGUUCCUUUUUAAGGCUGAGUAAUAUUCCAUAAUGUGUAUGUAUUAUAUUUUGUUUAUUCAUUCACCUGUUGAUGGAAAUUUGGGUUGUUGCCACCGUUUUCAUUCUUUUCAAUGGCUGCAUGGUAUUCUGUUCUAUGGUGAUAACAUAUGACAUAAACCAGUUCUCUGUAGAUAGGCUUUCAGUUUUUUCCAUGCUUCUGUGAAUAACUGUAAACUUAAACCAUUUCACACAUAUACAAGCAUGUUUGUCAAUCAAAUGUAUUGAUAUUGAUUUGUUGAAAAGGAAUGUUUUGGGCAUAUUAAAUAUUGGGAUGUUGAUGAAUUGCCUUCUGUGGAGAUUAUACCAAUUUAUGUCUCCUGUAGACGGAACCUGUCUCCCAAGCCUUCACCAACACAGCGUGUGAACAAAUUCCUUCAUCUUUGCUCAUCUCAUGAUGGAAAAUGGUGUCUCAGUGUGGUUUUAGUUUACAUUUCUCCUAUUUUAAGUGAUCUCUGAAUGUUUCAGGGCCAUUGUAUUUCUUUUACUGCAACUAUCUGUUCAUUUCCUUUGUUCACUUUUCAGUUAGGCUCUUGGUUUUUUCCCCUCCUUCUUCUUUAUAUUGGCUGUUGUUACAAAAUGUGCUUUUAUUUGUUUGUGCAGCCUGUGGGAGUCUUUGGGGUUCUGCUGUGAAACAGGAGAUUGUCUGAGAAUUAGUAAAACCUACUUUUCAAAACCGUUGAUCGAGUACUGGCUUGGUGACAGUAGGUUUUAUUCAGGGGAGAGUCCAGUGCGGUAGGAGGCCUUACUGAAGUGGUUCAUAUUCAGAAGGAAUAAUAUCCUUGUGAGAAUUUUAUAACAAUCUGUAUUCUCAUAAUUGUUUUAACGUUAAGAUUUACUUAUCUUUUAAAAGUUGAAUAUGUAAACUCCAGAUAACAAAUAACUUAGUAAUAGCAUAUUGUUAAAUUUCAUUUUGCUAAGCCCAUACAGCUAACUGCAUACUGGAAAACUCAAACUCAACAUGUCCCACUCUGAAUUCGUUCCUUUGACCCACAGAGUAACUUCCCAGUCCCUUAAUUUUCUGUCUUGCUUUUCAGGUAUCUCUCCACUCUCCUCCGCAUCCAGUACAUCACCGCCAUGGGCUGAAUGUUUGUGUCCCGGCAAAUUUCUGUGUUGAAAUCUAAGCCCCAAGAUGAUGGUAUCAGAGAUGAGGGCUUUGGCAGGUGGUUAAGCCGUGAAGACAGAGGCCUGAUGAAAGGGGUUGGUGCCUUUAGAAAAGAGGCCUCAGAUAGCUGUCCCGUCCCUUCUACCAUGUGGGAAUGAAGAGAGACAGUAUCACCUGUGAACCAGAAGGUGGCGCUCACCAGACAUUGAAUCUGCUGAUGCAGUGUUCUCGGAUGUGAACCAGAAAAUCUGAGACGGGUCUUAGUUAAUUUGGAAAGUUUAUUUUGCCAAGGUUGAGGACGUGCUUGUGACACAGCCUCAGGAAAUCCUGAUGACAUGUGCCCAAGGUGGUCAGGGCACAGCUUGGUUUUAUACAUUUAGGGAGACAUGAGGCAUCAAUUAAUAUAUGUAAGAAACACUGGUUCGGUCUGGAAAGGCGGGAAAACUUGAAGCAAAGGCAGGAAGGCUGGAAGCAGGGAGGGAGCUUCCAGGCCACAGAUAGGUGAUACACAAAUGGUUACAUCCUUUUGAAUUUCUCAUUAGCCUUUCCAAAGGUGGCAAAUCAGAUAUGCAUCUAUCUCAGUGAGUAGAGGAAUGGCUUUGAAUAGAAUGGGAGGCAGGUUUGCCCUAAGCAGUUCCCGGCUUGAGUUUUCCUUAGUGAUUUUGGAGUCCCAAGAUAUUUUCCUUUCACAUGGACUUCCCAGCCUUUAGAACUGUCAGAGAUAAAUGUCUGUUGUUUAUAAGCCACCCAGUUUAUGGCAUUUUGUUAUAGCAGCCCAAACCAAAUAAGAAGACCGCCAGCCAGUUCUACCUAAACAGUCCCUCCAUGUGUCCACCAUCCUGAGUCCCCAUUACCACGCCUUGUCCAGACCCCAGCAUUUCUGUGACUUGAUGCAAUAUAAGUUUACUGCCUAAAUAACAGGUACAGGACUUUGUGUGGACAAAUGUGCUCUUUUCUCCUGGGGUAAUAUCUACGUACAAAUGACUGGGUCACGUGGUAGGUAUUUUUAACUUUUUAAAAAACUACCAAACUGUUUUCCAUAGUCUUUGCACCAUUUCACUUUCCCACCAGCAAUGAAUGAGUGUUCCAGUAACUCUGCAUUCUCAACAGCACUUGUUAUCAUCAGCACUUGUUAUCAUCACCUUAAAGAGUUUCAGCCAUUCUAAAGGUGUGUAGUGGUUUUCUCCCCACCUUUUAAUUUUCUUAAUAGUGCCCUUCAAAAAACAGAAGUUUUUAAUUUUGAUGAAAUCUAGUUUACCAAUUGUUUUCUUUUAUGGAUUGUGCUUUUUGUUGUUACAUGUAUGAAAUCUUUGCCUAACCCGAGAGUGCAAUAUUUUUUUUCCAUGUGUUCUUACAGAAGUCUUAUAUAUCUAUGUUUUACAUUUAGGUCUACGAUCAAUUUCAGUUAAUUUUCAUAUAGGGCCUAAGAUAUGGAUUCAGGUUCAUUUUCUGGCACAUGAACAUCCAUCUGUUCCAGCACCAUUUGGUGAAAAAAUGAUACUUUUCCAUUGAAUUACUUUUGCAUUUUUAUUGAAAAUAAGACAAAAUUCCAAAUACCAUAAUCCUGAAUGCUAAAAUCCCAAAAGAUCAAAGAUCCUAAAGUAUAAAUCCCUAAAGUCUAAAAUUCUGAAAAUCACAAUCACAGGAUAGGGUUUUUUUUCCUUUUCUUCUAUUUUUUUCACUAUUUUAAAUAGCAAAACAAUUCACUAUGCUAUAUAUUUCAUCGUUGCAUCAUUUCCAAAACUUGACGUAUAGGUUGUGCAGAGACGUUUAGAGAGUCCUAAUUUGUUUCAUGCAUUUUUUUGCAAAUGUGACUCCAUGAAAGUUCAUUAUCUCAAUGUUGAUUUUGUGUAUAAACAUUGUGUAUGUACAUGAAAACAUUGAAACCUCCUCAGUGAUGUCCUUUUUGUACACCUGCAUUUGUAAAAGACAACAUUUUUUGAGAUCUCAGCUCUUUGGGUGACUGCAUAUGUAGUGGUAAUCCAUUGUGGUUUUUGAUCAAUCUUGUCAAAAGACUUCGGUUUUUUAUCACAGUAUUUCAGAUGAGCACAUAUACAAAGCUGGUUGCACACAAUUACCAAUCAUAGUGAUAUGUGUUUACACAUUUUCCUUUUGACCUACUUCUUUAGGAAUACAGUUUAUCUGCUCAUAAAUGCUAUAUCUGUGCCAGGUAUAGUCGUAUACCUGAGUAUUUAUUCUUGCAAAAACAUGUACGCUAGUAUUGCUUCUUUUAUUGUGUAAAGCGGCCUAUGAAGUGUUCUGUUGUGUUUUUAUAUGUUUCUCAAAUAAAUCCCCCCCUCCCUUUUUUUUUGAGAUGCAGUCUCAUGUUGUUGCCAAGGCUGGAAUGUAGUGGUGUGAUUUGGGCUCACUGCAAACUCCGCCUCCCGGAUUCAAGCGAUUAUCCUGCCUCAGCCUCCCGAAUAGCUGGGAUUACAGGCAUGCACCACCAGGCCGGGCUAAUUUUUGUAUUUUUAGUAAAGAUGGAGUUUCACCAUGUUGGCCAGGCUGGUCUUGAACUCCUGACCUCAGGUGAUCCACCUGCCUCAGCCUCCCAAAGUGCUGGGAUUACAGGAGUGAGCCACUGUGCCCACACCCACUCCCCUUAAAAUGUAAGUAAAUAUCUUCAGGAAUUUUUAAAAUUAUUUUUUCCAGAAUUAUAUUUUCAGGAUUUUGGAUUUUAGGGAUUUUUGAUCUUUCAGAAUUUUAAGAGCUGGGAUUGUGUCUUUCAAGACUGCUUCUUCAGGGACUAUGACGGGCUUCCCUCUAGACAGCAUGGGCUAGGAAGCAUGUUCUGGAAUGUGACAUUUAAGCUGAGAACUGAAUUGUACAAAAAACCUAGCCACGCCAAUUACCCUAAGUGAAUUAAUGCAAAAAUAGAAAUCCAAAUACCACAUGUUUUCACUUAUAAGUGGGAGGCAAGCAUUGGGUGCACAGGGACAUAAAGAUGGGAAAAUAGACACUGGGGAUUCCAAAAGGCAGGAGGAAGGGAGAGGGUUGAAAACUUACCUAUUGGGCACUGUGUUCACUAUCUGGGUGAUGGGAUCAGUUGAAGCCCAAACCUCACUGUCAUGCAAUAAAUCCUUGUAACAAACCA